ACCUGUGAGAACUCUUUGAUCCACAAAAUC
RNAcentral lists this non-coding RNA (30 nucleotides) under Rattus norvegicus (Norway rat). Lineage: Eukaryota; Metazoa; Chordata; Mammalia; Rodentia; Muridae. The record is from RNAcentral.